GACAGAGGGUGCAAACGUUGCUCGGAAUUACUGGGCGUAAAGCGCGUGUAGGUGGUUCCGCGAGUCAGGUGUGAAAUCCCUCGGCUUAACCGAGGAACUGCCCUGCAAACUGCUUGGCUUGAGUCCGGGAGAGGUGAGUGGAAUUCCCAGUGUAGCGGUGAAAUGCGUAGAUAUUGGGAGGAACACCAGUGGCGAAGGCGACUCACUGGACCGGAACUGACGCUGAGGCGCGAAAGCGUGGGGAGCAAACGGG
This 253-nucleotide ribosomal RNA is filed under the name uncultured bacterium. RNAcentral describes it as "partial 16S ribosomal RNA". It matches the Rfam family "Bacterial small subunit ribosomal RNA", at positions 524 to 776 of the family's 1533-position model. The record is from RNAcentral.